GGUCCAUGAAGACGGUCCACGUCAACAUCCUAAGAUCGACAGCAUCACUAGCCAUUUUAUUAAUAAAUGUUGGUGCUAGAUUCCCCAUUGGACGGAAUGGUGCACACAUUCCUAGUUGGAUUGUGCAAGUAUGAGAGUAUGCCACCGGUGUUAAAAAUUGGAAAAGAGAGUAAACAGGAUUGGUAUUAUACAGAUGCUGAUGCACUAAACUUCAAGGACUUUCUCUGAUGGUUUCAGUGACUAGAGCCAACCAUUCUUCCACUCUCCAUAUUCUGAUAACUGUUAUGCCUCAUAUUGUAUCAUAAACCUCCUGCUAGGCCGAUGGGAAAAUUCUAUAGGUCAUCGUAUUUGAUCGGUCCCAAGUUUGAUAUAGUUGGUCUUGGCUUGGUCUAUCUUUAACGGCUAUUCGACCUAUCCCGGCCGAUACUCUUUGCAUUGAGCCUAUGAGAUGUCUGGUACAUAUUAAGCCACUGCUUUGCUGCUCGAUUUAUUCUUUGGGUGGAACUCAAUAGUUUUAUAGCUUUGGCUUCUAAGCAUAGGGCUGAAAUUGGAUUGGAU
Molecule: long non-coding RNA, 558 nt
Filed under: Phoenix dactylifera (date palm)
Lineage: Eukaryota; Viridiplantae; Streptophyta; Magnoliopsida; Arecales; Arecaceae
Description: long non-coding RNA (PDAC_LNC007965)
Source: RNAcentral